RNAcentral lists this transfer RNA (82 nucleotides) under Necator americanus (New World hookworm). It matches the Rfam family "tRNA". From Rfam's summary of the family: Transfer RNA (tRNA) molecules are approximately 80 nucleotides in length. Their secondary structure includes four short double-helical elements and three loops (D, anti-codon, and T loops). Further hydrogen bonds mediate the characteristic L-shaped molecular structure. tRNAs have two regions of fundamental functional importance: the anti-codon, which is responsible for specific mRNA codon recognition, and the 3' end, to which the tRNAs corresponding amino acid is attached (by aminoacyl-tRNA synthetases). tRNAs cope with the degeneracy of the genetic code in two manners: having more than one tRNA (with a specific anti-codon) for a particular amino acid; and 'wobble' base-pairing, i.e. permitting non-standard base-pairing at the 3rd anti-codon position. Lineage: Eukaryota; Metazoa; Nematoda; Chromadorea; Rhabditida; Ancylostomatidae. The record is from Rfam by way of RNAcentral.
GAUAAGGUGGCUGAGUGGUUAAGGCGAUGGACUGCGAUGGACUCCAUUGGGAAUCGUGUGAGUUCGAAUCUCUUCUUGAUCG